Molecule: long non-coding RNA, 8104 nt
Filed under: Sorghum bicolor (sorghum)
Lineage: Eukaryota; Viridiplantae; Streptophyta; Magnoliopsida; Poales; Poaceae
Description: long non-coding RNA (SBIC_LNC002222)
Source: RNAcentral
UGAGUUAGAAUAAACUGUUAAGACUUAAAACUUACUCAUUUUACCUUUCACCAUGGGGCUUGUAACCGUCACUUGUGUCUUGAGCAGUUAAAAGAUAGAACAGUCAAGUCAAGCGCCAUGUCUCGUAUUCUUGAUUAGCUAUAGCUCUGGAUUUUUUGCAGAUUUUCAAAUAAAACUCAGAGAUUCCUUAUAUGACUCUCUCAAAUCUCUCUUUUGUGGUAUUUCUGGAUCCUACCAAGUCAAUAAGUCAAAUCAAGAUGUGCAUGUGUGGCAAAUGAAUGGUGUAUGGUGAUGAUGGUGAUAACAAUGGUGAAAGUCUAAUUCUAUUUUUGCUCUUUUAAGGGGAUACAUAUCUUUCUUGCACUUUGAAGCUUUUUGGGGAGAAUGAGAUGCUCUAUAUUUUCUUUUUUUUCUUUUUCUCUCAGGUGGGUAGCUUUGUACCCCUAAUUCUAUUGUCGGACACUUGUCCAUUUUUACCUCUCGUCUCACUUUUUCUUUUCUUCGAGGUUCCGGACACUUGCUCCUUUUUAUUUCCUCGUAUUUUUUUAGAGCACUCAUCUUCUGAAAGAAUGUAGCAAGUGGUAGUAACCAAAAUAACUGGGGCAUUUAUUUUACAGGGAAUAACAGGGAUAGGAAAAUGUUUUUGGCUAUUCUCUCCCGGAUUAGGAGUAGAAUAAUUUUGGGUGAAUCUGGAGAUGGAAAUGAGUGGAUGUAUGUGGAUGCGUACUUCCGGAGUAGAAGCAGCAUAUACGAGUGAACAUGCAAGUGAAUCUUGAUUUUAACCACAUGACAAGCUCCUAAGGGUCUACACAGCUUGACCACACUCAAUGCUCAUAAGCAGUAAAAAGUAAAUGUUUGGCUCAAAGUCUAAUAAGCAUGUAUAUAUGGCUGUGGUAGGAUUUUUAACUCUCAUCAUACAGGAACUCAUCAUGUGUUAUUUUAAAGAUUUUUAAAGAUAAAAUUCUCUAGAAUUAUAGCAUCUCUAGGAACAGAUAAACAACAGCUCAACAUUCCCAUAUCAUAUCCGUUAACGACUUAGACUUUAGAUCAAGUACUCUUCCCACAAGUUCAGGUUUAGAGCAGGUUUAAAUUAUAACAGUUAUGCCUAAACUUGAGAGAGAUUUUAAUUUUAAGAACUAGUCAUGGCAGAGCAACUAUUCAUCAUUUCCAUGUGAGAGUUUAUCAUGAGGGUUCAUAGCAAACUUUAUUUAUUUAUUUAUUUAGCAAACUAAGCAAAGAUAUAUAUAAAAGCACAAAAUCUUUAUUUGGGUUUUUAUGAUUAUGCAUCUUUUAUUAUUUGAGUAAAGUAUAAACGCGAGUAGAAACACUUAGCUGGAUAAAUGGGGGUGCUCUCCCCCAAGCUGGAUUUUAACGUAAUUUCUUCUGAUGUAGCUAGCAGGUGAUGGAGGUGUAUUUGAAAGUCGGCAGCACCCUGACAGCGAUUAGGAUGUCCUCCGUCUGCUAGUCUUUUUUGAUCCUUGAAUCCUGUGGAGCUCAAAUAGACAACAAAGCUUUGUGGAAGAAGUGUUAGUAUAAAUAUCUAGCCUUUAUCAUGUUGAGCCUCCUCAAUAAAUAUUACAUAUUUAGCACAAUCAUGCACUUAUUAUUUUUAUAUUUUUAUUGUAAGAUGAAAACUUAUUUAUUUUAUUUUUAUGCCACCACAGUGAAUAUACUUAUGAGUUUUAUGCCAUGAGCAUACUCACAUGAGGCUUACUAUUUUUUUAACAUUUUUAUUUUCUUUUCAAGAUAGCAUGAACCUGAUUAACUAAGCAAACUAUUGAAUGGAAAAGGAUAACUACCAAGUUUACCUCUUGGCAAGGCGUUCGGUAUUUUUUAAGUCCUCCGAACGGGACUCUCCGUUUUCUCAGUCGUCCUGGGAUUCGUUGGAUGGCGUAGACUGUGGUUCCGGCGGCGCCUCCUCUUCGUGUAUAACUAUCUUCUCUCUCCACACCUGACUCGGUGCUACGGUCUCCUCAGGACAGUUCUGUUCAAGCUAUAUGUCUUCAGACCUUAUCACUUCUCCUUCGUAGUCUACCCAUCCGUCCUUGAUGAUUUGCCUCCUCUGGUUGCGGUUGCGUUGUCUUCUUCUUGUACUGACCUGCUUAGAGUCUUCAACUAUAUAGUUAGGCUCAGUAAAAUAGCGGCGUACCUUCUCAGAGGGAAAGUACAUGUGGACUUCUCCGGUUCCAAUGUAGAUGAUAACUUUGAUAGUGUUGAGGAACGGUCUUCCAAGGAUGGUAGGUGGAUCAUACUCGUCUUCUCUCAUGUCAAAGAUCUGAAAAUCAUCUGGAGCUGAAUAUAUAUUGGUUGUAGGGGCAUGGUUCCAUGUAGGAGCUGAUAAGUGACUGUGGCCAUUAUAUUGUCGUUAGAUCCGGUGUCGUAGAGUGUCUUCUGAAAAGAGGAUUCAUUGAUUGUGCACUCGAUGCUUGGAACACCAGGAUUGUCCUUCUUUAUCAGGAAAGGCGACUUGAGUCGACGAUCGUGACCUCCUCCGACAAGGAUCUAAUGUUUUAUGUCUUCUGGACAAGACUUCUCACCGUCUUCAUCCUUUAGGUGCAUCAUUUGAUUAGGCGUGGACCUUGACAUCUGCACCUCUUGAUACAGUGUCACCUCUGUUCUUUGUUUGUCCAGCAGUUCGAAGUGCGGUGUUGGCAAUAUCUUGUUCACUGUGUUUGUGCUCGUAGAUCCCGGUUCUUCACUUGGUGGAAUCUGGGAGUUGUAAAACUCCUCCAUGUUUUGCUUGAAGUGUACCUAUUCAUAGAGACAAGGCAGAGAUCAAGUGCAUGGGCCCUGUUGGUGGAAAACACCAACAGAACCAAAAGUGUAUUUGUUCUUCUCUAACCUUAAGCAUAGUGAGCAAGACAAAGUUGAUAGAACAUGAGUGUAGCAUUUAAAACAUUUGUUAGAUCAGAUGGCUCAACCUAAUGGAAAGAUAAUAUAUCUAUAUUUAUGUUUUGUUUAUAUCUUCCAAAGAUUGAAUGUGCAACAUAUUAGCUUAUAUGAUUAGGAGUGUGGGACCAUGAAGGUAGUACUAAGAACAAAGAUUAAAGGACUAAACAUGUUGAAUUAAUUAAGUUGGUUAAUUUGGAGUUACAAAUCAUACAUGUUUGUCUCUUUUAUUCAUGUGUAUGCCAGAACCAAGGAGAACUUAUAAAAGUGAUAGUCAAGUACUUUAAGAUGUUAUUGAAGAGUGAUGGUAUAGUAUCACCUUGUGGAAGCUUUUCUUUCUUGGCGGUUGUGCAUCGUGUUUGUGGCACUCUUUGUCUUGUUCCAUGGAUCAUCUCUCUGUGAUGAAUGAGCUAUGUCUUCCUUGUGCAAAUCGUUAAACUUCAUGUGUCACUUUCUUCAUCUCCAAUGUGAGUUUAUCUCAGGACUUCCCAGGUUGAUAUUGAAAGUUUUCCUGCAAGGGUUAGUCCCACAAAAUAUACCAAUAUCUACUCAAGCAGUUUUUAGUUCAGUAACCAAACUAGACUCCAUGUCUAAUCAGAUUAAGGAAGGCUAUUUAACCUAAGCACCAUGCUUAAUUUAAAUGCCAAUGGAAGUAUGUCGAGUACUUCCAAACCAACACUUACUAGGAUAAACAAAGGUAGCAUGAUGGCAUUUAUAGAGAUCUACUCAAGUGGAGGUGAAGUAGUGUAAUUAGUAUUUAACAAAUUGAGCAUGUCUCAAAGGUAAGGACAACCAACAUAGCAACAUGGAAAAUGAUGUUUUUAUGUAAAGUACUCCCCCAAGCUUGAAUUUUGCAAAAUUCAAGUUUGGAUGAAUUUAAUUCAAUGUUGUAUGAUGGUUGGUUGCAAAAUUCUAGGAUUGUCUCUCAAGUUUGUUUUAUCCAUCCAUUCAAUGGUGAUAGCACAUGGAUUUUUAAUGCCCUCUAGCCAUUGAUGUUGCUCUUCUCGAUCCUCCUUGUGGUCUUGGUGACUCUUAUGAAAGGGUUGUCUAGAUAGAUUCAUAGGAUUAUCGGGAGGUUCAAGAGAAAGAGUGUAGUAGAAAUUAUUAAGCUCAAGGAUGGGUUGGAUAGCCGAAUUAUGGGUUUGAAAUGUUUGGAAUUCGGCUAUUGAAACUUCCUUUCCUCGUCUGGGAGAUGAUUCCUUCUCUAUUUCUAAGAUUUUUCUAUGAAGACUAGUACAAGAAGGAUGUCCACGAAUGAAGACAUACCUUCCUUUACUAAUAGAUAAAGAAAGAAAGACUCUACCAAAGGUUAUUUAAUUAAGACCAAUGUGAAAAUAUCGAGAAGAAACAUGGUCUUGUAGGGCUAGGUUUAAACCAGAAUUUAUAGAAAGAUUAACAGAUUCCCUAGGUGUAGCUAAAAGUGCAUUAUCUUCUUGAUUAAAAGAUAGGACCUCGGCUAUAGAAAAGGGUUGGUUUUGACCUAUUGCAAUCAACUCCGGACACAGAUCAUAAUUAGGGGCAGGACUUGUUGACUCCCAUGGUCUAUGGCUGGUCUCCGAAGGUGCAAAGAAUUUAAUAAUAGGUAUGGAAUUCAAGUUAUCCAUAAAGAUAAAAAGAUAAAAGAAUAAAAGUAUAAAAGUAUAAUACAAGAUAAUAGCAAGACUCAAAGUUAUCUCAGCAAACCGUCUUUCUCCCCGGCAACGGCGCCAGAAGUGCUUGUUGAUAUUUGGUAACGCAAUAAGGAAAUGAUCCGCAAGCGCACGGAUAUCGGUGGCCAUUUCACCCGGGAGGUUAUCCAGAGUUAUCGUAUUUAUAUUUUUACCACUGGGAGAAAGGGUGCAUUUGACUAACCAAAUCUAUUGCUACUAUCCCUUUAGGCUACAAAGAAUGUUUCUCGAUGUGAGUGAUGUAUAGAGAAGACUGCAACCGUAGUCUCGUUCUAACCUUGGUAAGGAUGAUCUACUGUUCUAUUGGGGAAGCUUACGGAAUCUAGACACCACAAAGGAUGUUCGACCCGCACCUAUAAACCUACCCGUCCUGCUAACAAGAUAUGGGAUACAAAGGUAACUCGGAAAUGUCACGUUCCUCGCUACUACCACGGUCCAGCUAGUCAGGGGAUAUCUAUGAGUACCCUAGCCUAAACACCACGCUUACGCUAGCAAUGAUUACUCUAAUACUCAACCGGAAGAGGAUUAAAGUAAACUCAUAAACCAAAGAACAAUAAAACAAGAACUUACUAGAAUUAGAAGUCGAAUUACUGAAGAAUCUUAGAAGCAAGCCUCGGGUUAGGAGACUUGAUCCCGUAGGUACAACUCGGAGUAGACACCGACAAGCCGGCCUUCCUCCGAUCUACACCUCCACUCUAUCUCUCUCAAUCUAGUAGAAACUAGAAGAUCUAUUUCUACUUACAUUGGUUGCUAAGCCUAAAAAGAAAUUCUAUUUAGAGAAGAGGUUUUCCUUCGAGGGCACCCCUCAACUCUAUGAUAACUUCUUGUCUUUGUUGAUAUUUGGUAACGCAAUAAGGAAAUGAUCCGCAAGCGCUUGGAUAUCGGUGAGCAUUUCACCCGGGAGGUUAUCCAGAGUUAUCGUAUUUAUAUUUUUACCACUGGGAGAAAGGGUGCAUCUGACUAACCAAAUCUAUUGCUACUAUCCCUUUAGGCUACAAAGAAUGUUUCUCGAUGUGAGUGAUGUAUAGAGAAGACUGCAACCGUAGUCUCGUUCUAACCUUGGUAAGGAUGAUCUACUGUUCUAUUGGGGAAGCUUACGGAAUCUAGACACCACAAAGGAUGUUCGACCCGCACCUAUAAACCUACCCGUCCUGCUAACAAGAUAUGGGAUACAAAGGUAACUCGGAAAUGUCACGUUCCUCGCUACUACCACGGUCCAGCUAGUCAGGGGAUAUCUAUGAGUACCCUAGCCUAAACACCACGUUUACGCUAGCAAUGAUUACUCUAAUACUCAACCGGAAGAGGAUUAAAGUAAACUCAUAAACCAAAGAACAAUAAAACAAGAACUUACUGGAAUUAGAAGUCAAAUUACUGAAGAAUCUUAGGAGCAAGCCUCAGGUUAGGAGACUUGAUCCCGCAGGUACAACUCGGAGUAGACACCGACAGGCCGGUCUUCCUCCGAUCUACACCUCCACUCUAUCUCUCUCAAUCUAGUAGAAACUAGAAGAUCUAUUUCUACUUACAUUGGUUGCUAAGCCUAAAAAGAAAUAUUAUUUAGAGAAAAGGUUUUCCUUCGAGGACACCCCUCAACUCUAUGAUAACUUCUUGUGUUCUCCAGGGGCCAGGGGGUCUCCUUAUAUAGUCCUCCUCCUCUAUGCGUUUUUGGGUCGGUAGGCGAUGUGGUACUAUGUUAUCCUUGAUCCUUUAGGUCGGUGGAACAUCGUGUGCGAAGAGAGUCCCAAACGGAGUCCAGGACAAGGCGGGCGCCCUGGGCUUGGUCCCUUUCGGCCUCUGCUUUCUUCCCGUGGCUUCUGGAGUCUUCUAGAUGGUAGAAAAUUGCGCGGUGCGUUGAUAUCUCUAUGUAAUCCCGACAUGUGGGCCUUUCUUCCUUAUUUCCUGAUAACCCCCUGUAGAAAUAGACAAACACCAAAACUCGUGGAAUUCUGUCAGAUAAAACCCUAAGUCUGGGUGUUGGUUGCAUUUGGAUCCUUUUCUUUAUUUAUUUGAUGAUUAUAUUUGGUACUUAAGGACCAUCAACAACUCCCCCAAGCUUACCUCUUGCUCGUCCCUGAGCAAGGAUGAACUCAAGAGUCUCUGCAGUGGUUUCGUGCCUUAAAAGUACACACACAUUCAAGCAAGAUCUCACCUCUGAGUUAGAGUAAACUGUUAAGACUUAAAACUUACUCAUUUUACCUUUCACCAUGGGGCUUGUAACCGUCACUUGUGUCUUGAGCAGUUAAAAGAUAGAACGGUCAAGUCAAGCGCCAUGUCUCUUAUUCUUGAUCAGCUAUAGCUCUGGAGUUUUUGCAGAUUUUCAAAUAAAACUCAGAGAUUCCUUAUAUGACUCUCCCAAAUCUCUCUUUUGUGGUAUUUCUGGAUCCUUACCAGGGCAGUAAUGAUAUGUGCCUUCUCUCAAAGUAUGUAGUAUUUGUGGUAUGAGGCAUAGUGAUAUUGCCUUCUCUCUCACCCUACUCUAAUAAGGUUUUGAUAUCUGGAUCUCAUAGGUGGGAGACAGACAAUACAUACUUACAAGACAUUUCUUGCAUAGUCAAACCAUGGAUCCAGAGAAACAAGUCAAUAAGUCAAAUCAAGAUGUGCAUGUGUGGCGAAUGAAUGGUGUAUGGUGAUGAUGGUAAUAACAAUGGUGAAAGACUAAUUCUACUUUUGCUCGUUUGAGGGGAUACAUACCUUUCUUGCACUUUAAAGCUUUUUGAGGAGAAUGAGAUGCUCUACAUUUUCUUUUUCUUUCCUCUCAGGUGGGUAUCUUGUACCCCUAAUUCUACUGUCAGACACUUGUCCAUUUUUACCUCUCGUCUCACUUUUUCUUUUCUUCGAGGUUUCGGGCACUUGCUCCUUUUUAUUUCCUCGUAUAUAUUUUUUUUUCUUUUUUCUCUUUCUUUUUUUUAGAGCACUCGUCUCCUGAAAUAAUAUAGCAAGUGGUAGUAACCAAGAUAACUCGAGCAUUUAUUUCACAGGGAAAAAUAGAAAUAGGAGAAUGUUUUUGGCUAUUCUCUCCCGGAUCAGGAGUAGAAUAAUUUUAUGUGAAUCUGGAGAUCGAAAUAAGUAGAUAUAUGUGGAUGCGUACUUCCGGAGUAGAAGCAGCAUGUGUGAGUGAACGUGCAAGUGAAUCUUGAUUUUAACCACAUGACAAGCUCCUAAGGGUCUACACAGCUUGACCACACUCAAUGCUCAUACGCAGUAAAAAGUAAAUGUGUGGCUCAAAGUCUAGCAAGCAUGUAUAUAUGGCUGUGGUAGGAAUUUAAACUCUCAUCAUAUUGGAACUCAUCAUGUGUUAUUUUAAAAAUUUUUCAAAGAUAAAAUUCUUCAGAAUUCUAGCAUCUCUAUGAACAGAUAAACAGCAGCUCAACCUUCCCAUAUCAUAUCCGUUAACAACUUAGACUUUAGAUCAAGUACUCUUCCCACAAGUUCAGGUUUAGAGAAAAUCUUAAUUCAUAACAGCCAUGCCUAAACUUGAGAGAGAUUUUAAUUUUUUAGAACUAGUCAUGGCAGAGCAACUAUUCAUCAUUUCCAUGUGAGAGUUUAUCAUG